CGGCAACAGCUCAAAUUUGAAAUCUGGCCUCUCGGGGUCCGAGUUGUAAUUUGUAGAGGAUGUUUUGGCGUUGGCAGCGGUCCAAGUUCCUUGGAACAGGACGUCACAGAGGGUGAGAAUCCCGUACGUGGUCGCUAACCUUCGCCGUGUAAAGCCCCUUCGAC
RNAcentral lists this ribosomal RNA (164 nucleotides) under Subplenodomus sp. RNAcentral describes it as "partial large subunit ribosomal RNA". It matches the Rfam family "Eukaryotic large subunit ribosomal RNA", at positions 99 to 261 of the family's 3401-position model. Lineage: Eukaryota; Fungi; Ascomycota; Dothideomycetes; Pleosporales; Leptosphaeriaceae. The record is from RNAcentral.